UACCGGCGGCUCGAGUGGUGACCAUUUUUAUUGGGCUUAAAGCGUUCGUAGCUGGAUUGUUAAGUCUCUUGGGAAAUCCAACGGCUCAACCGUUAGGCGUCUAAGGGAUACUGGCAAUCUAGGGACCGGAAGAGGUGAGAGGUACUCCUGGGGUAGGAGUGAAAUCCUGUAAUCCUAGGGGGACCACCUGUGGCGAAGGCGUCUCACCAGGACGGCUCCGACAGUGAGGGACGAAAGCUGGGGGAGCAAACCGGAUUAGAUACCCGGGUAGUCCCAGCCGUAAACGAUGCGCGUUAGGUGUAUCAGCGACCACGAGUCGCUGAGGUGCCGAAGGGAAACCGUGAAACGUGCCGCCUGGGAAGUACGGUCGCAAGGCUGAAACUUAAAGGAAUUGGCGGGGAGCACCACAACGGGUGGAGCCUGCGGUUU
Molecule: ribosomal RNA, 429 nt
Filed under: uncultured archaeon
Lineage: Archaea
Description: bacterial SSU rRNA
Rfam family: Archaeal small subunit ribosomal RNA
Source: RNAcentral